GGGAUUGUGGCUCAGUGGUAGAGCGCUCGCCUAACACGUGUGAGGCACUGGGGUUUGAUCCUCAGUACCA
This 70-nucleotide transfer RNA is filed under the name Urocitellus parryii (Arctic ground squirrel). RNAcentral describes it as "Spermophilus parryii (Arctic ground squirrel) tRNA". It matches the Rfam family "tRNA". Rfam says of the family: Transfer RNA (tRNA) molecules are approximately 80 nucleotides in length. Their secondary structure includes four short double-helical elements and three loops (D, anti-codon, and T loops). Lineage: Eukaryota; Metazoa; Chordata; Mammalia; Rodentia; Sciuridae. RNAcentral also lists the same sequence under 1 other name. The record is from Rfam by way of RNAcentral.